Molecule: ribosomal RNA, 253 nt
Filed under: uncultured bacterium
Lineage: Bacteria
Description: partial 16S ribosomal RNA
Rfam family: Bacterial small subunit ribosomal RNA
Source: RNAcentral
UACGUAGGAUGCGAGCGUUGUCCGGAAUUAUUGGGCGUAAAGAGAACGUAGGCGGCCGUCUAAGUUCGGUCUUAAAGACCGGGGCUCAACCCCGGGAAUGGACUGAAGACUGGGCGGCUGGAGGAUGUCAGAGGAAGGUGGAAUUCCCAGUGUAGCGGUGAAAUGCGUAGAUAUUGGGAGGAACACCUGUGGCGAAAGCGGCCUUCUGGGGCAUUCCUGACGCUGAGGUUCGAAAGCUCGGGGAGCAAACAGG